UACGUAGGGUGCAAGCGUUAAUCGGAAUUACUGGGCGUAAAGCGUGCGCAGGCGGCUUUGCAAGACAGAUGUGAAAUCCCCGGGCUCAACCUGGGAACUGCAUUUGUGACUGCAUGGCUAGAGUGCGGCAGAGGGGGAUGGAAUUCCGCGUGUAGCAGUGAAAUGCGUAGAUAUGCGGAGGAACACCGAUGGCGAAGGCAAUCCCCUGGGCCUGCACUGACGCUCAUGCACGAAAGCGUGGGGAGCAAACAGG
Molecule: ribosomal RNA, 253 nt
Filed under: uncultured bacterium
Lineage: Bacteria
Description: partial 16S ribosomal RNA
Rfam family: Bacterial small subunit ribosomal RNA
Source: RNAcentral